UACGGGGGGGGCGAGCGUUGUUCGGAAUUACUGGGCGUAAAGGGCGCGUAGGCGGUUUCAGAAGUUUUGGGUGAAAGCCCCCGGCUCAACCGGGGAAGUGCCUGGAAAACCAUGGGACUGGAGUGCUGGAGAGGCAAGCGGAAUUUCUGGUGUAGCGGUGAAAUGCGUAGAUAUCAGAAGGAACAUCCGAGGCGAAGGCGGCUUGCUGGACAGACACUGACGCUGAGGCGCGAAAGCUAGGGGAGCAAACGGG
RNAcentral lists this ribosomal RNA (253 nucleotides) under uncultured bacterium. RNAcentral describes it as "partial 16S ribosomal RNA". It matches the Rfam family "Bacterial small subunit ribosomal RNA", at positions 524 to 776 of the family's 1533-position model. The record is from RNAcentral.